RNAcentral lists this ribosomal RNA (497 nucleotides) under uncultured bacterium. RNAcentral's name for it is "partial 16S ribosomal RNA". It matches the Rfam family "Bacterial small subunit ribosomal RNA", at positions 28 to 507 of the family's 1533-position model. The record is from RNAcentral.
GAUGAACGCUGGCGGCGUGCCUAAUACAUGCAAGUCGAGCGAACAGAUGAGGAGCUUGCUCCUCUGACGUUAGCGGCGGACGGGUGAGUAACACGUGGAUAACCUACCUAUAAGACUGGGAUAACUUCGGGAAACCGGAGCUAAUACCGGAUAAUAUAUUGAACCGCAUGGUUCAAUAGUGAAAGAUGGUUUUGCUGUCACUUAUAGAUGGAUCCGCGCCGCAUUAGCUAGUUGGUAAGGUAACGGCUUACCAAGGCAACGAUGCGUAGCCGACCUGAGAGGGUGAUCAGCCACACUGGAACUGAGACACGGUCCAGACUCCUACGGGAGGCAGCAGUAGGGAAUCUUCCGCAAUGGGCGAAAGCCUGACGGAGCAACGCCGCGUGAGUGAUGAAGGUCUUCGGAUCGUAAAACUCUGUUAUUAGGGAAGAACAAAUGUGUAAGUAACUAUGCACGUCUUGACGGUACCUAAUCAGAAAGCCACGGCUAACUACGUG